RNAcentral lists this long non-coding RNA (931 nucleotides) under Heterocephalus glaber (naked mole-rat). RNAcentral's name for it is "lncRNA (ENSHGLG00100047978.1)". The record is from RNAcentral. Lineage: Eukaryota; Metazoa; Chordata; Mammalia; Rodentia; Bathyergidae.
CCCCUUUCCCCGCCCCCAACUCCGCAGCGCCUUGGGUCCACCGUUAGGGCGUCACCAAGGUCUGCUCUGGUGUGAACCUGGGUGCCAGGACCUGCCUGCCAUCCGAGGGAGUCCAGGGAAUGGGCGGCCCUGGAGGUUAAUCUGGCCCCUGCCAACUCCCGAAUUGGCUCGAUUUCUUUCAUUCUGGUGCCGAAACCCAGGAAGGUACAGCUGAGAUUAGUGACCAUCCGCCGCUGGUGGGGGUUGGUUGGUCCCUUGGCCAUCCUUCCUGAACCCUGUUGGAUGAGCACCCGACCAGGCGCCUUCACCUUUGCCACUGCUGACACCUCGCAUCCACACCAGUCCCCGAUUCCUGGGAGCUGUCACUAUACUCUGCAUGAUUCUGCUUUUUGGACCGUGCCUGUUCCGUUGUUUUCAAAAGUUCUUACAGGAACGCAUGAGAGCCUUCACAAACCAGACAGACUGUGAGCUCGUCAUGGCCAGAUACCAGCCCCUCGCCACUGAUACAAGCUCGCGAUACCGGGACCUCACUGUGGCCAUCUAAAGACCCCACCCAACAAAGCCCCUUUGCCGGCAAGAAGUAGCUACAGAAGAAGAGACCCUCGCCCCUAUUCCAUAAUAACAAGAGACUGGAAUGUGAGACAAUAUGGCCAGAGGGAGGUCUGUUACUCAAAAUGGCACCCACUUCUCCUAAAUGGGUCGUUUCCUCUCUCAGAAAAUGGAAAUGAACUCGCCAACCUGCCUCUCUACUCAUUGUCCAAUAAGUUUAAACUCUGUCACUUGCCUCAGCCAUACAACCAAUCCUCAACCCCCACAAUGCUCUCCUGUCACACAACCCUUUAUAAACCUCACCUAGUUAGACUCUCGCUCAUUCUCCAUUGUUCGAGACAGCCUGGCAGCUUCUUCCCACAAUAAAGCCCUGCCUCAGGUG